Long non-coding RNA from Carassius gibelio (silver crucian carp), 1184 nucleotides. RefSeq lists it as uncharacterized. The transcript is spliced from 4 exons. The record is from RefSeq and is a predicted model, not a curated record. Lineage: Eukaryota; Metazoa; Chordata; Actinopteri; Cypriniformes; Cyprinidae.
CCAUUCUCACUCCAAAGGCGUCAAAAACCGAAGCAUGGUCAAGCGCCCCUAGCGUCACUUUUAUGACGCCAAAUGUGCCUCUCGGCGUCGAAUAUCGAAGCACUACGACCUUCAUUGCUUUCAAUGGGAAACUUUUGGCGUCAGAAUUCGACACGAGGACAUGAGAUGUUUAUCGCUAUGAAAUCACGUUCAAGAAGUCUCAUUCAGCACACAUCGCGAUACUUGCUAUCAGUUCCACAGUUUGGCUGAAAAGACAUAAAGGCAGUCAGCCCAGUGGUGUUUCUGGAGAGGGAUUCCUUCAGAAAUGGAGAAGACAGAAAGCUGCGGAGGCAGAUAUAUGCAGCAUGUUCGAGUGAGCAUGAUGACCACAAGUGUGUGUCGAACUUUUCAUGACCUGAUGACUGUGUUUCCCAAUCCUGAUCCUGGAGAACCCCAGCACUGCACGGUUUUGGUGUCUCUCUUAUCUGCCUUGGAGUCUUCACUGAUGAGCUGAUGAGUUGAAUCAGGAUUGUUUGAGGAUAACGCUGUAGCUCCAUCAUGCACAAGGACUCACCUCGUUUACUCUUUAUCUCCCGCACACACAGAAAUGGUCCCUGGAUCAGUGAUUAGACUUUGCAGUGGUUUGAUUUUUGCAGAAGAUGUAACUUUGUUUUAAUUAUAAGCUCAUAAUGAAUACAUUACAGAACCAGUGAUGAAAACAAUAGUUAAAAAUAGCGCUCCAUAUUAAAAAUAUAUUGCACACUUGACAUGCAUGUCUUCAUGGUGUUUUUUUGUGAGUUUGAAACAUUUACAUUGUGUUGUAUAACAUUUUGGUCACAACACUUUUUCCAGUGUUCUCUGAAAGACAUACUGUAUUUACUGUUUUGUUUUUUAAUAAAAGCAUUUUCAUUUGCAUACUGAAAAUAGUUAAUGUUUACAACAUAACUGCCUUUUUAUUCUUUAUGGUGGCAAAAACGAGCUUGGUGACAGAGGAUGCAGUGUAGUAAUUUGGGCAUGUUGUCUUUAAAUGAGUUUGACAUAUAAAUAAAUAAUGGAAGAUCCUUACAAAAAUAUGCAUGUUUAUUAUGCUUUAUGUAUUUAUUUGUUCAUUCAUUCAUUCAUUUAUAAUUUCAGUUUUUAUUCCUAGAGUUCAAAUGGUAGAGAAUGGUAAAUCACAGAAACACAAAUGUGAACAAUUUUAACUU